Myodes glareolus (Bank vole) is the source of this 4938-nucleotide non-coding RNA. The record is from RefSeq and is a predicted model, not a curated record. NCBI's taxonomy places the organism in Eukaryota, Metazoa, Chordata, Mammalia, Rodentia, Cricetidae.
AGCAGAGGACUAGCCUAGUAGACCUGGUUCUUCUAUCCCUUGGCUUGCCCUAUGCGACUCAGAUUUUGUUCCUUUUAUUUCUAGUAGAUGGAAGAAAGUGGAUAGCUUCUGACAGCUAUUGGAGAGGGAUGUAGGCAGGGAGGGAAAUAGGGAAGGAGACAGAGAAAGAGAGAAAGAGAGAGGGGGAGAAAGAGAGAUUAAUUUUCACAGGUGGGUGGGCUGUAUGGUAUAGUUCUUAACUCCAUGGUAGCUAAAGACUUUAAGGCCACAUCUCCCACUGGCCCUGUUCUUGGGAAGGACAAGUUCAGAGUGUGACUGUUGAGGCCAUCACAUUUCCAUUGGGAUCCUCUCUCACCUCUCUACACUCUUGAUUUUCCUAAGCAGUCCAAUAGACAUCUUCAUAGGGAUGGAUCUGCCCAUCAGGUUGGGACUUGGAGUUUAUUAAGAGGGAGAAUGGAAAAGUUUCAGACAGCCCUUACACAUGCUGGUGACUAAGUCUGAGUCCCUCUCUGAAAUUUAAGUCUUCCAGAUGUUGACUUCAGCUGGGGAGUGGGGACCUCCUACCCUGUUCACAUGGACACCCUGUCUUGUGUACAGCUGCUGUUUUUGUUCAGACGUGCCACAGGUACAGGGACAGGCUGGGGAGGGUGAAAACAGAUGAGAAACCUUACUAAGGGCCAGAGCCUUCCAAGCCAAGCAUAUAUCUGAUGUGUUCGUAGAGAACCAAGGCGAGAGACUCAGGACAAAGAGUGCUUUUCUGAGAGAAGAGGAAGGACUAGAACUCAGCACACUCCUACCAUCAAGUGCUGAGAACACCUUGGUUCUCUAGAUGUUCUGCUCAUUCACAUUUUUUUUCUUCCUGGCUCCUGUCCCAUCCUUCCUACAGAAUUCCCUGGGUCUUUCUAGAAACAAUUGCUAAGUUUUUGUAUCACUAAUACAGAUAGUGAGCAACUAGAAGUUAGGGACUCAGUAUCUGUGGAAGAUUCUUCUGAGGUCCUUAGCAUGUUCAUUUUGGGGGUUCCUUGCCUAAAGAAAUGUUAAGUAGGCACUGGAAGAGACAUUGUUGACCAACCCUUUACUUAUCUCAAACCUGAGGACUUCCCACCGCUCCACAGUGUCUUUUCCACUUGGCUAAAAACAUGUCCAGUCUUGACUCUUCACUAGUGUGGCAGGAUCACGGUGGGAGAAACGUGAAAGGAGGAGAGAGCAGGGAGAAACGUUCUAUCUGCUCUAUCUAAAGCUGUAAACCAGAGAUUUGAAAGCCCAGUUUAUUUGGACUUCUGGAAAAUUAUUUUAAUUCAUUUUGCUUUCCCAGAAGUCAUCACUAAUAAUAACUUGGAUGGUGUGGUUAUACACCACAAAUUCAAAUUUCAUGCUUCAGAAGGGUCCAGGUAACACUGACCACUUUCCUGCCCCUACUAACUUUAGCCUAAUCUAAAGCAUAUACGUGUUCUCAGAAUAGCCUGACAUUGUAGCUUCCUUCUGUUCGAGGCCAAAAUCACACCACAUAUUAUGGUGUUGGAAAUCUGUAUUUUCGAUUGUGCAUUUGAAUUAAAUUACCUGGUCACAUUUGGUCUGUAGAAACGAGAGUGUUUGGAUCUGUCUAUCGACUGGAGUAGGGACACUUGUGUUAGGUUUCUAGAAAACACAGGGAACCUAGACAAAGUCAGACACCAUGCCCAGAAUUGCUCAUCCUCAGUCCAGGAUCUUGACACGGGCCAGGAUGUGCAGCUGAGAUGCCUUUUCAUUGUCUUUCCUUCCCCUGCCCUAUGCAUUUUUCUUGCUUCUUUGUCCUCUUUCUUAUGCUCCAAGAGCCGUGUGUUGGGGUCCUUGCCUUACUGAAGGCAUUCCACCAUCUUUUUUUAUUUGCCACUAAGAAGGUCAAGAUUCAGAGGUUGCCACAUGUUCAGGCCAGCACCCUCAUAAGUGAUGAUAUAAAGCAUUGUGACCACCAUGCUGGUGCCAGUGCAUCAGGCAGAGGAGGUGCCAAAUGGUCCCAUGAUCCUUAGCAGUAGGGCUGUCCCUAAGAAGUAUCCUUAAAUGUAUCUUUAUCACGACUACUACUGGACUGCUUUUGCCAUGAAUGAUAUAACCAUUCUGACCAGGCUUGUUUUGUAUCUCUGACUUCCUUUACUGACUCUGUUCCCAGGGAGAAUAAUCUGUUUGCUUGUGGCUAUAGAAUGAUGGAGCUGACUCCUUCUCUGCCUAGGUACUGAUAGAAUUCCCAUAUGUGAAGAUCUCAAAACCAUAGGAAGAAAGAGAAUAAAGUAACUUGACCAUGGUCAUGGAAUUCUGCAGCUGUAAGCAUAGAGGUGUAGUGACAUUUUACCCCCGCCCCCAUGUCCCUGUGUUGGGAGAGCACAUGUAACCUGCCUAGAAAAAUCUUUGAAGAUUAAGAUUUUAGGUAAGAACAAAACAUAUACCCCAUUGUGUUUGAACAUGGCAGUAGCUGGAUUUUAUUGUCACUAAGCUCUCGAUACAGGUCAGCCUUAUUCUCCUUGGAGGAGGUGUGAGGGGCCAGCAUAGCAUGACCUGGCAUUCUGGUGGGGACUCUGGCACAAACAGAAAUGUCUGUUUCCUCCAUAGAAUGCUCUUCUGCAAUGGUGAUAGGGACAUUUUCUUCUUGCUGUGAGGAAAAGACAAAAGCUAAGCUCUAGACAGUUUCUAGUUAAGGUAGGGGACUUGAAAAAGCCCUUCAGGUAAGCGCACAGGUGUUCUUGGACUAUCUAAGGUAGGAGACUCUAAAAAGCCCUUCAGGUAAGCGCACAGGUGUUCUUGGUCUAUCUAAGGUAGGAGACUCUAAAAAGCCCUUUCAGGUAAGCGCACAGGUGUUCCUGGUCUAUGUGUCACCUCUUGCAACAUCCAUUCCAGGCAAAGUCACUGCCUCCCCAAAUCAAUUCUCUUAUUCAUGGUGGAAGUCAAAUCUCCUGGCACCAUGUCAAACAAAUUUUAAAAAUUGGGCAGCAACAGCAGAGUAUAAACCUAGGGUCUCUCUGAAUCCUGGGGUCUUUGUGAUGCCCAUGUUUCUGGCCGAUGACACCUGCCCCAUCUCCCUUCCCACCUAAAGCACUUUGUAGACAGGUACAUAUGUAGUUGACUUACACUCUCUCUUUCUUCUGCCUCUUGCCUUUCUUCCUUCUACCUUUUUUGCUCUUGCUGAGAUUAAAACCUCAGAUUGGAAAGAAUGAAUGACAGAAGUGUAGAUUUUCUGCUUUGGUCCUGCUUUGAGAAGGAAUCCUGAGAACUUGGAUUUAAAGGCUGGGAGAUGACUUUCUUGGGGACUUCAUUGCCAACGUGAUCCUGCUGAUGGGCAGCACCGAACUCCUAUUGUACUAGGCUUGGUCUCUGAAGUGUUCUGGGACUCCCUUUUUCUUCCUUGUAGUUAUUGAAUCUGCAUUUGUGUUGCCCACACUUAUAUGGAAAUAAAUGGUAGCCCACUUUGAAAAUCCAUGUAACAUUCAGAUACGUUGUUAUAGAGGCUGCCAAAGUUUUUCUUUUCUUUCAAUGAAAUGUCCUCCAAAAAAAGGUUUAAUUGUUUAUCACUCUUUGCUUGAAAAAUUCAGGAAACCUGCCUAACAAUGUAGUUCAUAGUCUCCACCUUUCCAUCUCUACCCCUCUCUUCCACCUCCAGUAUUCCUCUCUAGCCAGGUUUUUUUAUUCUCUCUUUCAAGCACCCCCCACUUCUGUUUAAGUGUGUAAUAUGUAAAGAGUGAGCAAGAAUGAGUUCACAGAGAAAUCAGUGGUUCUUAACACUUAGUAAAUUCCUCUUCUGUCCUCCAAAACCCAAAGAUUCCACACAUCAUGGCUACAUCAUAACAUGAACCCUCCAAAGACGUCUUUUGGUCACGUUUCAUACUUAUUAUAUUCUGUCCAGAUCUAUUUGCAUACAUGACUUCUCAGAUAUUGGACUUGAGGUCGAAGCUAUAUCUCUGUGGGGUUUGAAGGGGGAAGGAGCAAGGGCAGUGUACAUCUUUAAAUAAAGAUGCUAGCUUAGAGCUUUGACUAGCACAUUGUCAGGUACUGGAGGAGGAGAGCAGAGGCAUUAUGGAGGUCCCUAGGGGAGCUACCAGGAACGGUGGAUAUGUUCUACCUUGAUCCGUGGCAGUAUGGUCAUUGGGUGUGUACCAUUGUCAAAACUUCUCAAAUCUGUCCUGGAAAUAUUGUAACUUGCAUGUCAAUUACUCAAGAGGGUCAUUUAAGAAUUCUGUAUUUUUCAAGUCCCCGCUCAGAUUUCCAGAAUUAAGACAAUGAAACCGAUAGCACACGCUUAUUGAAAAUGCCAGAUUUGUGCCUGAAAGGCACAGGGAGUUUUACUUGGUUUGCGUCCUUCAUAGAGAGCUCUUAAGUGCUGCACCGGUGACUACCAGGUCAAUUUAAGGAGUUCUCAAGAGCAGCUGCUGGACUUUCUCUACAUAUUCCAGUGCUCUCCCAGCCGCCUGAGCAAGCCCUCAUUGUGACAAAGCAUUACCAGUCAUCAGGUCCCUGACUGGGAGGGUCUGUGUCACGGUCACUUAAAAAGGGGGGGAUGGCUGAACUGCUGUGGACUGAUGGGCCUGGGGUGAGAAAGAGAGAUGACAGGAAGAGCAGCCAGAGGCGAUCUCAACCGGAACCUCAUUGCUGGCCAGAGCUGGGGACCGUGAGAAGAUGGCAAAAGCCUGUAAAUGUUGGUGUCCAACAUGUUGCAUGAAGGAUUUUCAACAGAGACACAAAGCAAAGAAAUCACCCCAGAAAAGGAACAAAAGUCAAAGCGAGCCACACAUGCUUUGGCUGAAGGAGCUGCUGGAUUCCAAGCAGUACCAAGUCACAUUUGUCCCGUUGGGUGACUCAGACGGCAGUGCCUCCGGCUGCAGGCCCAAGACCACCAUCAUCAUCAUCGAGUUCGCCUCUCCACCCCAAGGUCUCUAAAUAAAUCGUUGUCUUCUCUGAAAAAAAAUGGUA